UGGGUAUGGCCUACCAAGACUAUGACACAUAACUGGUUUGAGAGGAUGAUCAGUCACACUGGAACUGAGACACGGUCCAGACUCCUACGGGAGGCAGCAGUGGGGAAUAUUGCACAAUGGACGAAAGUCUGAUGCAGCAACGCCGCGUGGAGGAUGACACAUUUCGGUGCGUAAACUCCUUUUAUAUGAGAAGAUAAUGACGGUAUUAUAUGAAUAAGCACCGGCUAACUCCGUGCCAGCAGCCGCGGUAAUACGGGGGGUGCAAGCGUUACUCGGAAUCACUGGGCGUAAAGAGCAUGUAGGCGGAUUGAUAAGUUUGAAGUGAAAUCCUAUAGCUUAACUAUAGAACUGCUUUGAAAACUGUUAAUCUAGAAUGUGGGAGAGGUAGAUGGAAUUUCUGGUGUAGGGGUAAAAUCCGUAGAGAUCAGAAGGAAUACCGAUUGCGAAGGCGAUCUACUGGAACAUUAUUGACGCUGAGAUGCGAAAGCGUGGGGAGCAAACAGGAUUAGAUACCCUGGUAGUCCACGCCCUAAACGAUGUACACUAGUUGUUGUGAGACUUGAUCUUGCAGUAAUGCAGUUAACACAUUAAGUGUACCGCCUGGGGAGUACGGUCGCAAGAUUAAAACUCAAAGGAAUAGACGGGGACCCGCACAAGCGGUGGAGCAUGUGGUUUAAUUCGACGAUACACGAAGAACCUUACCUGGACUUGACAUAGUAAGAACUUUCUAGAGAUAGAUUGGUGUCUGCUUGCAGAAACUUAUAUACAGGUGCUGCACGGCUGUCGUCAGCUCGUGUCGUGAGAUGUUGGGUUAAGUCCCGCAACGAGCGCAACCCUCGUGUUUAGUUGCUAACAGUUCGGCUGAGAACUCUAAACAGACUGCCUACGCAAGUAGGAGGAAGGUGAGGACGACGUCAAGUCAUCAUGGCCCUUACGUCCAGGGCUACACACGUGCUACAAUGGGAUAUACAAAGAGCSGCAAUACGGUGACGUGGAGCAAAUCUUAUAAAUAUCUCCCAGUUCGGGAUUGUAGUCUGCAACUCGACUACAUGAAGUUGGAAUCGCUAGUAUCGUAGAUCAGCUAUGCUACGGUGAAUACGUCCCUGGUCUUGUACUCACCGCCCGUCACACCAUGGGGAGUCGG
This 1144-nucleotide ribosomal RNA is filed under the name uncultured Arcobacter sp. RNAcentral's name for it is "bacterial SSU rRNA". It matches the Rfam family "Bacterial small subunit ribosomal RNA", at positions 253 to 1414 of the family's 1533-position model. Lineage: Bacteria; Pseudomonadati; Campylobacterota; Epsilonproteobacteria; Campylobacterales; Arcobacteraceae. The record is from RNAcentral.